This 160-nucleotide unclassified non-coding RNA is filed under the name uncultured fungus. RNAcentral describes it as "sequence contains ITS1, 5.8S rRNA gene". Lineage: Eukaryota; Fungi. The record is from RNAcentral.
CUGAGUUGUCUCGUCUCGAGACCCUCUCACACUUGUUUUGUUUACACAUUGCUUCGGCAGGGCGCGACAUCGUCGCCGCCGACUCUUACGGAGUGGGCGUGUCUCUGCCGAAGGUCCAACUCUUCAACUUUGAUUUAGUCUGUCUCUCACAAUCGAAAUA